UUCUCUUCUUUUUUAAUUUCAAUUUUAGUUCAACUUGGUAGGAAAAUUUGGGCUGGAGGAGAAAAUAUUUACUUCUUUUCUCCUGUGUGAAAAACAUUUCUGAUCCUUUUGAUCAUUUCUUUGAGAAUUUCAUACAAUGCGUUUUGAUCAGACUUACUCCUCUCUCCCAAUGCCUCCAAAAUCUGUCCAUACUUCCUUACCUGUUUGACUUUGUCCUAUUUUGAUUUUGUCUUUAAAUCUAGUCAAACAUGAUAGCACAGGUCUAUAAUCCCAGUACAUGAGGUGGGGUGGGCAGGAGAAUGAGGAGUAGCGGGCCAGCCUUACUAUCUAGUGAGUCUGAGAUCGAAGGGUUUGGUUUGGUUUUCUUGGAGUCGGCAUUAGUUGGCGGUUUUCUUAUUUUGAUUUUUUUGUUGUUGUUUCUUUGUUUCUGUUAUCAUUGUUGUUGUGGUUUUGAUCUCCCGGCUCCAAUAUCAUUUAUAAUAAAUAGGAAUAUUCCAUGUAGGGCUUGCACAAACACUAACCUGAUGUAUGUUUACUGAACAUCCAAAAUAUUUGUAGUUUUUGAUGCCUUUCCUCCAAAAGAGAGACAACUUUCAUUACUAGAACGUAUAAAUCCUAAGUCAUCUCUACUGAAUUAUGCAGGUACUGAAUGGCCACUAUGAGAAAUUAGUGCGGAAUUCUGGGAAAUAUUGGCUGUGUGCGAAGAACCAAUGGGAACUAGUGGAGAUGACUGCCUUUGAAGGCAGCUACGGGGGUUGGGGGGGAAGAUUUAGAACCAUCAUGAAUCAAAAAUAAAGUUAAGUUUGUACUUCUUUCUCCUAGAUUUAUAAAUGUGGCUGGCAAACGGGACAAAAAGAGUGAUGGUGACAUUCUUCGGUAUUUAUCACCCGUAAAGUAGGAAAUAAAACGCCUCGCCCUCUCAACUUUGCAGUUGCUGAAGGGCUUUAAAGAAUGGCCACAUUAUAAUAAUUGAUUCUUGCCUUUUUUUGUGAUUAGACCUUGAGAAUGAGAAUGGCAAAAUAAUUCCAUAUCUUAGCAGCCGAGAACGUCGGGGAUGCAGGAUUGGUGACGUGUUCGUUGAAUGAGGCAGAAAUUAAAAUUAAGGCUUCUUGUGGACAGAGCAAACUGAUUUAAAAGCACUACAAGAUCCAUGAGGUGUGUGCUAGGUGAUUAAAUGCUAGGAAUGGAUCCUUACAGUUAACAAAAUGAAAGUUGGAAACUUGCUCUGAAUACUGAUUUUGUGCAGCCGAGUGUGUGUGUGUGUGUGUGUGUGUGAAAGAGAGAGAGAGAGAGAGAGAGAAAGAGAGACACAGAGAGAGAGACAGAGAGACAGAGAGAGACAGAGAGAGACAGAGAGAGGUCGUCCUCAAUCACUUCUCAACUUAUCUUCUGAGACAGGGUCUCUCACUGGAUUUACAGCUCAGUAAUUCAGCUAGGCUGGUUGGCCAGCCAGUGAGAACAGCAAGAAUCCUAGCAUCUCUGACUCCCCCAGAGCUGGGAUUAUAGACAUUGCCCCUGUGACUUUCAACGUAGAUGCUACUGAUCUGAACUCGAGUCCUCACACUUGGGUAGCAAGCACUUUAACCACGGAACCUCCCCAUUAACCAUGAAGUGAUUCUUCUUACGUCCGGAACCUUGUAAGCAUGGUACUCAAGGUCUCCUGCACUGUGCGUUUCAGUUUACCCCACAUGGGCUGCCUGAACAUUAGUCACCUUCUCAGACACAACUCUACACCUCUGGCCCUGACUCUUCUGCCACAUCCUGGAAGCAGGAUCUGGACCCCCAAGUCCUUUCCUAGUCAAUGGAUAGUCAGUUAAACCUUGAUUUCAUUUUCAUGUCUCAGUUUUAGUUACAUAUCUGGGUGAUGGGUCCUCUGGAACACCGUGACUGUCAGUCAUAGAGAGAAGCAUCUUAAUUGAGGUCACAUGAAGAAGGUCUGUUUAUUAUUUUUUUAUUGACAUAAGGUCUUAUUUAGCCCCCAAUUGAUUACAUUGGCAAGGUUGGCCUUGAACUCUGAUCCUCCUGGCUCCAGGUCCUAAGGGCUAAGAUUACAGGCAUGUGCCACCAUGCCUGAUUUACUUAGUGCUUAGGAUCAAACCGAGGGCUUUGUGCAUGCUAGGCAAGCACUCUACCAACCGAGCUGUGCCUAUAGUUCAAGUGUCUGUGGAGAUGCUGAAAUAGCCUUUGGAAUGCUCCAGCUGAGUUCUCACUGGGCUCCUAGGGGUUAGCCUGGCUCAGUCCAGCAACCUCUCAUUUGCAGUGGAAUUGCUGAAGAGUUUUAACCACGAACCCCGAAGGACUGCUAUUUUGAAAGGAGGCAGAAUACAAGUGAGUGUUCAUGGGGAUGCAGGAAUUAGUGUUGUAGACACAGUCUCUCCAAGAGAGAAAAACCUGCAGCAGUUUCUAAGAUGAUUUAUUAGACACUGGUAGAAUUUGCUAGAAAUCUACCAGGAGGAAAUCAUCUGGGAAGAAGUUAAUGAACCAAACAAAACACUUGAUAAUGCAAUUAGAAUACUAGGAGACGAAGGGUUUUUUUUUUUUUUUUUUAAACCAGAGAGAAGGGGGAUUCGGGGUGAGAACGUGGAGGCUGAGGUUGGAAAAAGAAAUGUAACUAACUGUUUUCUGAGUAUAGCUAUCAGAGGACGGGAGGAGAAGAUGGGCUGAUGAUUCAGUGCGGCGAGUCAGGGUGCCCAGCUGGGUAGAGACAGACUCUCAGCGUGGCUUCAGCUGAGUGCUGUGUGGCUCUGAGCAAAGCGACGAGAUUGCUAGCGGCAAAAAUCUGGACUCCCAUCCCAGGGGAUGGUGGAGACAGCCAUGGGAGGACGCACACCGCACUCUAGUUGCUUGAGGCAACAGUAAAUUUCCCCCCUGCUUUUGUUUGGGUCUGAGAUUUUUUUCCCCUUUAAAUCUCUUCUUAGCAGAGUUUGAAAUCAACACAAUAAACCCCUGUAAGCUAUACAUACUCUGCCCUUAUUCCAUUCAGCCUCACAGAUGACCCAAUGGCCAAACAUGGUAUCAUCGCUGAAUGUAUAUGGGGGAAAUUUCUGGUCAUGCCCUUGUCCUAGGCACUGCAAUGUAGACCAUAAAUAACACAGGUUAUCUUUGAUUUAUAAGAAUGUGAGAUCGAAAUAAAUAUGCAAGAAGAUGCGACUGCAAGCCCCAUCUUCCCUAUAUUAGUUCUCUAGCAUGGUAGGGAUGUGUUUAAUACUUUUAACGCCUCCCGCAAACAUUCCUUCCUUUAAAUAUAUAUUGUGGUCACGCAACACUGUCUACUUUCCCAAGUGUUUUCAUGCCCUCUAACUGGAGUGUUACAUGUCAAGUGUGAGACUGCCCUGUGGAACAAAGCCAGCAUGGGAGAUGUACACAUGAGAGAGCCUUAUUGAGAUACCUGCCCUUGACGACCACAAGCGCCUCCCGCUCUGUAGUGUAGCCAGGCUGACAGCUCUAUGCGUCCAGCCACAGUGCCCAGGCACUUCCAGUCUCAGCCCCUUUGGCACUCCUAGCCCUUGUCAUGGGUCAUUACUGCUCUGGGAGAAUCUGGUGGAGGUCUCUCCCUGUCUUUGGGUAGCAAUUACUAUGAGGACAACGACCAUUCAAGUUCCACAUUAUGUUUAGUGACUCUCUACCUCGUAGAAAGGAAGUGUUCAAAAAUAACAUGAAGAAAUGCUGAACCUGGAACAUCUUUCUCCUAGCGAUCUAUACAUUUGCGCCACUAUGCAUUUCAAAGAAAUUUUGCUCUUACCUGCUUCUCCUAAAACCCAUUCUCCAUUGUUCCUUUCAAAGAAAUGACUUAGCACCAAUGAUGACCUAAUGAUGUUCAAGAAAGUUGGCCUUUCUAGAUGCACAUCCAUCAUUAUACCUGUCUCCAUGGAUACUUGUAACCCACAAUUUUGGAAGCCUCACUUCCCUUAGUGUUGCUCUAUCUUUUGGUCCCCAGAGCUUUGACUGCUCCUGUGAUGUGUCCACAUUCAGAGCUGCCACCAUACCUUAGAGUCUCUAGACACAGCAUAGUCUUGACCACUGCCAGCAUCUAGAAGAACUUCACUUGUGCUUUGAAGGAAGACUGUAAGGUUCACAGAAGCCCAGUCACUGUUCUACAAUUUCCCAGUGACAAAGCCACAAGCUUUUAGACAUCCUGGUGAUUCUAGAUUGGGACAGUGUGCAGUGGAAUGCCCCUCCUUCUUCAACAAUAACCAGGUAGACUUACACAUGAGUAAGAUUUCACCCCAACACCCUUCUGCACCUCCAAAGCUGCAAGCCACUCCCUUUCCUGUGCACAUACCUUUGUGCUGCAGCUGUAGCAGAGCCAACCUCAUCCCUCUCUAGAAUGCAAGCCACCUGGUGACAGGGACCAGCCUCUCCCUCCUCUGGUAUGGUGACAGGUAGGAGAUAUCUAUUGAUAUGUGCUGGAGGAACCCAUGGCACACCUGUCACUGAGUUGGACAGUCCUGUGUCACAAUCCUGUUUCUGUUACCCACUGGCUGGGUGACCUCAAGCAAAUCAGUCAUUCUACAGCCUCAACUGUCUCAUCUUUAAAAUGGAAUAACAAGAGUGUCUGUACCGGGAAGGGGCUGGAGGAUGACAUAUCCUGUCCCUAAAGUGUGUCCGUGACAAUCAUUCUCCACAGUAGGGCAUCAUGAAGAUGACAACCAAAAUAUCUUGACAAAAGACACAGCACCAAACCUCCUCAUGUUUUCCUAACUGUGGUUGGACAGGGACUCUGAAGCCCUCAGCUAGAGGGAAAGGCUCAAUGUUUGUGCUAAUGUCUCACUGGUGAUUUCCUUCCUCCUUUGGUCUGGGGGAACCAGGUUCUAGACCUUCAAUGAGAUGCUUUAGUUUAUGUUAUUAGGGAGAAGUAAACCAACACUCAGGAUGAUACAGACUUUAAAUAUGUAGCCCAGUGAUACAAAACCUGGAUGUACAAACUUUCCAUGGAAACAAAACAAAACAAAACACCCCAGAGAAACAGAGAAAGGCAUCCCUUGUUAACAAGUUACUCCAAGCAGGAAUGUACGGCUAUGGCUUUACAUGGAGAAUGUGGUAGCCGGUGUCUUAAGUUGCACAGAGCCUGCACUACAAGGUACACCUGGCAGUCACUUCAUCACUACAUAAAGUGGAACACAGCGGAUGUGGGGUAGUGUGACUGUGGGUGGGUGGGGCUGACAUGUUUUCCUUCCCACCUCCUGUUGGCGAAAAUAUUGCCACAAAGGAGAAUAACUUCCUUCUACCUUUCAGAGACUCCCCAAAUAGAAAACAGCUGCUUGAUAAGGCAAAAUUGGCUUGUAAUUUUCUGAGUUUCCUUUUAUUAAGAUGCAUGCCACUUUUAAUGUAAUAUGCCUUGGCACUGUGGGUGGAUAGGGGAAUAGAUGGUUGCCAUGUAUGGAAAAACAGGAGCGCGUUGUCAGGAUAAACUGCUUAACACGCUGGGAGAAAACUGUGGUUCCCCCAGAUGUCUCUCAAAUUAACUCUGAGCCCAUUGGUAGGAGGCUGUGCAUAGUAAAUCUUGCCUGUGUUAUUCGGGUCAUGUGUUCCUUUUCAAGAAAGAGACAUGCUUGGGCCUUCAGAUUUCUUUAGCCAGAAGCAUGCAAAAUGCAGGGGACGUGUGUGUAAAAAGAUGAGCUCUAACCGGAGUCUGAUGGAUGCCUUCUUUCUUUUACAACAAAUGCUAUUGCAUGGGAGAGGAAUUUUACUGCUGGAGAACAUGUCAUGUUAGGAAAAAUGAAAACAGCAUUUUAUGCUCUUCUCUCCCUCUCUCUUUCUUUGGUAAUACUGGAGAUUUGAACUUGGGGUCUUGUGCACACACUUUACCAUUGAGCUAUAUCUUCAGCCCAGCAUUUAUAUAUAUGCACGGGUCUAUGUAUGUAUCUAUGUACUUGUGCAUAUGUGUGUAAGACACGUGUGAUUGCACAUGUGUGGAAACUAGAGGUUAACACCAGGUGUCUUUCCUGAUCACUCUCCACUCUCUAUCUACUGGGGCAGAGAGUCCCUCCCUAAACCUAGAGCUCACCAGUCUAGUUUUCUAGCUAGCCAGUUUGCUAUAGAGAUCCUUCGUUUCUACCUCCUGAGCACUGGGGUUGGACGGGCUGCCAUUUCGUUACUUCUCAGAAAUGGUAUUUACAUUUAUUUUUUUAUUACAAGUGUGCAUUCUAUGUAUGGCACUGUGGGGAGACAUGUAUGUGCCAUGCCACAUAUUGAAAGGUCAGAGGACAACUCGUGGAGUCAGUUCUCUCUUUUCACCCUUAUGUGGGUUCUGGACCUUAAUGAACUCAGGUCACCCAGUUUCUGUGGUGAGUGAUUUACCUAUUGGACCAUCUCAGGAGCACUUUACACUUUUAAAAGAUCUUCAUAGCUAUCCAAUCUCAUCUCCCUCUGAAUAUUUAUGAUUUAGAUUCCUUCAGAAUUUGGGGUAGGAGGAGAUUUAAAUAUACAUGUUCUUGGGUCUCAACAGUUGUAUUAAAAAUUGAGUAAAUGCAAAGACAUCCAAGGUAAUAGAUAUCUAAAGAAUGCUACCAUGCUACCCAUUUGAACUCACUACCCCUUGAGAAAAAUGUUGCCAGCUUGAUUGACAACUAAAGUACCAGGACUAGCCAAGCGAACAAAGUGGCCUUGGGGAAGGACUUGCUGUCCCAGUCAUCAGGAAUCACUGUAUAGCUGUAGAGCCAAGUAAUAGCUACUGAAUGCCCGAUCAACAGGACAGAAUAGGAAAGCCAGGGGCGGGUUCCAACACAUGGAAACACUGACAUUUCCUCUUCAUGGGUGGAGAGCUGGACUUUUAUCUAAGGGAUACUAGAAGAUUCAUUGAUGAAAAAAAAAUGGAUUUGGACUCCAACCCUGCAUCAUACACAAAGGCACAGAGAAAGACAAGACUGAUGAAAAUCUGCACAUCAACUUAUAAAAUAUGCAUGGAAGAGAAUAAAGGAGGGUAUCUUUAUGGCUCUGAGGUAGAAAACACACUUUCUAACAGAUGCAAAAUGCAAACCACAAUAAAAAAGAUGUAUUUGCUUCCUUGGAAAAUGUCAGAAAGACACACAGACCUCUGCAAGUAUGGAAGAAACUUUUCAGUACUUUGAUUUAAUGAGUUGGUAUAUACACUAUGUCUUUAAAAAUCCCGAAAGCCAAGAGAAAAAGAUAGAAAAGCCCAACAGAGAAAUAGAAACUUCAGCAGGCCAUUUCGCACACAAAAAGGAAACUUAAAUAUAGAAAAUACACAUAACACAUAAAAUCUGGAACCUCAUUAUAACAUGCUAAAGAGACACAAUAACCAUGAGGUAUAUCUCUCCUUAGUCACUUGAGAAACUGAGAGGUCAGCUGACGCUAAGUGUUGGCUGUGUUAUUGUGGCCGGUGGCUUGAUGCUGCUUGUAUUCUAAUGCUAAUUUGGGACCCCCACACUAGUUGCCCCCGAGAUGAACACUGAUUGGUAAAAAAAGAUGCCAAGAGCCAAUAGCUGGGCAGAGGAGACAUAGGCAGGGUUUGGGUUUGAGGGCUUGGGGUUGGAGAAGAGGAGGAAGAAGAAGCCUGCCUUGGGUUAGGGGUCAAUAGAGCACAGUCCUGAGGGCUGCCUAAUUGUGGCUAAGAGAAACCAAAAUGGACCAUAGUAUAUAGUAAGUAAAAACCCGGGGUUAUCGAUAGGAUAGUAGAUUUUAGCAGCAUGGAAGGUAGGCAGCUACCCAGAUACUGUACUAAUUAAGACUUAUUGUAAAUAUAAAGGCGAUGGGUGUGUCUCUCAUCUGGGAUCUCAAUAACCAAAGGCAAAGUCGAAACCCCGGGCUGGGAUUUUUAAUAAUUAUCACUACAUAUUAUAUUCACUUUCCUCUUGGUGAUGAUGUAAGAUGAGAUGAUGUCUGUGUGAUGAGGUAGAUUGACUUGGCGGAGGGGGACACAGUUGCAGAUGACAACAUGAUCCCUCAGAAGUGUCACUGAGCUAUAACAAUACCACUUUUAGGUGAAUGUAUGUGCAAGGGAGGCCUGACGCUCUCCCUUCAACGCUUUUCUUCCUGCACUCUUUGUCUCUCGCUAGUCACCCGUACUUCUCCCAGAGCACUGUCUCUUCAGGGACAGCAUCCGGUCUAGCAGCCACACAUAGCACUUAGGAAUGGAGCCUGAGCCCCAGGGUUCUAAUGAGCCCUGGAGGAGACUCCAACGCAAGGUUUGGUUUGAGAAAAACCUUAGGAGAAUUUUUGAACCUUGAGACUGGUUUAAGGAUGCAAACUCAGGUAAGAUUCUUUUCCCUACAUUUUGUAAUUUUGAUAAGUUAAACAUCAAAGAGACAAGAGGUUAAAAAGGAAAGUAGUGUGAGAGAGUGUCUUUCAUCCCCUUUGAGUACUGGGAUGGGGGGGUGAGGUGAGGGAGACACGCAUAGAGUGGAGAUUUGCAUGGAGAUCAACUUGAAGUACCUUCUUAAAAGGUUCAGCCUCUAAUGCAGCGGUUCUCAACCUGAGGGUCAUACCCCCUUUGGGGGUCACGUAUCCCCAUACCCUGUCUAUCAGAUAUUUAUAUUACAAUUUAUAACAGCAAAAUUGCAGUUGUGAAGUAGCAACAAAAUAAUUUUCUAGAGGCCUCCACAACAUGAGGAAGUGUUUCAGAAGGCCGCAGCAUUAGGAAGGUGGAAAGCUGCUCCUCUAAUGGUUAGUCUAACCCAACGCAGAAGACGCAUGCUGAACACAUGCAACAGGAGAACCACAAGUGCUCGGUUGAUGGUUAACUUUCACUGUCAGCUUGACAGAUUUAGGAUCAUCAUGGAAAUACACCACUGAGUGUGUUCAUGAGGGAAUUCCCAGAAAUCCAUCUUUGAUAUGGAAAAGCAGGAAAAAUCUAUCCUUGACAUGUCCCCAUGUCCCAUGGGCUCUUGGGCUGAAUGAAAAGGAGACAGAGAGCUGUACGCUAGCAUUUGCCUCUUUGUGAUUCUUGGUUGUAGAUGUGUGCACCGUGACCAGCUGCCCUGUGCCGUGUCUUCCCACUGUGAGAUGGCCUGUACCCCAGAACUGGGAGCCCAAACAAACUCUUCUCCCUUAGAUUGUUCUGAUAAGGUACUUGAUCUCAGAAAGGGAAAAAGUAACUAAGAAAAUGGGUCAAUGUUUUCAUUUUUUAAUUUUUUUUUUGUGGUCCUGGGAAUGGAACUUUGGGCUGCACACUCUGCUCUUAAACUAUUCCCCAAUCCCAGCCAAUGAGGCUUAAUUGGCAGACCCAGUGAGAAGGUGACCUGAGCUACCGCCCCUGGAAGUGGGGCCAGCCAUCAUGUUUUGUCAUUCUGGGCACAGCUGUAUGGCUCAGCAGCAGGAGGAUGCUGGUUCUCCUCCUCAGAAUUCUGAAAAUAAAGAGUAGCAGUGUCUGUCCUAAAAAUACAUUCUAUUCUGGCAGAAGUCUGCCUUUCGCCAUCCACAUUGAUGGAAAUCAAUUAUAUCACUGUCCUAAUUACUGUUGUAAGGGGAGUAUCUGCACAAGCAGGAGGAAGUGUGGAUUGAGCAGGAACAAGGAUGGUGCCUCAGUAGGUGCUGGGGACAGCACAAAUGGUGGCGCUGUGGGUGCGCAUGGAAAUAUAUGAUUAACCUAUUUCACAUGUGUGAGAUGGACAUUAUUGAAUAGCUUACUUUAGAAAUGUUAUUGAGCAAGGACUGGGGAUAUGGCUUAUGGUUAAAUAAGUCAAAUCUGUGAGUUCAACUCUCAGUACUGAAGAAACAACAGUUUCUCAAGCAAAAUAACUUUUAAAAAGCCAACAGAUGGUUAAACUUUCCGUCUGCAAUGUGACUUCUGUGCUGCCUACGCAUCUAGCACGGACUUCCGAAAACCUGCCAGAGAAGUGUUGGUCCAGCUUCUUCCAAGAUUUUCGGCUUAACUGAGAAGUGAGACCAGUGUGAACAUGCACCGUGCUCCCUAGGGCUCAUGGGAUAUGGUUUGAUUGAUGAUGGCCCCGGCCCCUGACAUGCUGACUCUCAGGGCUGGGUCCUGCUGCUCUGGGAUCACCUUUGAGAAUUAAUAAGUUAAGGGAAACACAGAGAGAAUCUUCCACAGUCAGAUAAACUGUCUUCCCUCUUUAACUCAAGUCAAGAGUUGGGUGCAAAGGCAGUUGCACAUUUCUGCCAAUGAUUUCCCUUCAUUCCUGCACUGUUUCAGCUUGUUCUUGACUCUGAACUGAUAUAAUCAUAAUCAUUGGAAAGAUAUUUUCCUGCUAGGCAGGUGACCAGAUAUGUCAGAGGAACCUUUCCUCUGCAGUUUACCAAUGGACUCAUAACUCAGUGUGCCCUUGGGUGCCCUUGGCGAGCUCGAAGAAAAGUGGGUCAUUCCGAGUAGGACAAAUUCACUCGUGACACUUGUCAGGGCAGCUCUCGACGGUCAACAGCUCAGCUGACUACAUUUCACUAACAGUAUGACACCUGUCACAUAAAUGAAGGUGCUUCUGUUAGGAGGUGGGUUUUCUAGGCUUUGAGACCUGAGCUGCUUUUCCUGCUUGACCCCACAGCGGUCAGAGAACACAGGGUACAAGGUAUGGCGUUACUCAGAACGGCUGACGGCAUUCUUUCCUGUAUCCUCCACCCCUACCAUUUAACCAUCCUUAAUGAGCACAACGGAACUCAUCCAUUAAACCUGCAUUUCUUUUCUUGCCUCCAUCAUGUUUCUUCUUACCCAUCAUGGCAGGUGUGUGGGUGACAGGAACACAGAGUGACGGGCUGUAGUUUCCCCUGUAGACCUAUCGCACCCAUCUCAUUGGCAACAGAGACGGGGGCUCAUUUGUCAUUGAUAAAACCCACCUCGGACCAAGGUGGGACCCAUUUAAUACGGUUCUCAUUCGGAAUUUGGGAAAGAGGUCUUGAUGGUUACUGGGUUACGUGGCAAGACUGGGGCACCCCAGACAAUGAUGUACCUCAUGAUGAUGACAUUUUUGGGGUGGGUGGGAGGCUGGAGACAGGUGAUAAGUUGUAGCAACUACUAGGAAGGGGACUACUGCAAAGUCUUAAGAGGGAGGGAUGAAGGUAAGUACAGGAACUGAAAGAGGUCCCCAGGACCAGGGCAGAUAAAUAACAUCAGGAAGCUUAUGGAGAUGUUGGAAGGGGCUCAGGGACACCAUUUUGAAGGUCACCAUGGAGCAGCUCCCUUUAUUCUAAUGGCUCCAGGGAGUCAAUGACCAAAGGCUGAGUAGAAGAUCCUUGGCACAUGGCUGGUUGAGCCCUAGGGCUGAGUGAACCAAAUAACAAAAGCUAUGCCAUCCCUUCUACCCUCCGGCCUCACCGCCUGGGCCCAGUCACUGUCGUACGUGCAGUUCCUCCUCCUCUUUCUACAUACGGACUGACCGUACCUGUUUCUCAUUCCUCAAAGCCACUAAAGAAUCCAAGGUGCUCAGGCAGGAAUAUUUGGAGGAUAAUGCGACUUCCUGAAUUCAUAGUGAAAUGGGGACGACAACAUUAAUAUGAUGACACGGAUGUGAGGCAGAGAGACAUGAAGGCAACUGUCAGUGGGCAGGGCACGGCAGGCACACUCUGUAGGGAUACAUUAGUGAUCUGUGGCAUCGAAGGGAUGCUCAGUAUAGGGAAACGGUAGUGCUCGGAAGCACAGUGGCUGCUUUAGAGGGACAGGAGGGUAUUGUAUGGCAUGGUAGAAUUCCUCAGUGUGGGGACGCACUGGUUCUUCAGAGUGGAAAGGCGUGGCUUGGUGGGAAGGUUCAUGCAGGGAUUUAGCGGUGGACAGGGCAUGGGGGAAGAGGGCAUGUGGAGACAGAGUAAUACUCCAGGGCACGGUGAGGUGAGAAGGCUCUAUGUAGAGAUCCAGCUGUGGGUGGGGCAUGGUGGGAAGGCUCCAUGUAAGGAUGCAGGGCUGGCACAGGGUGGGGAUGUUUCAUACAGGGAUGGGGCAGUGGGUAUAGCAUGAUGGGAAGACCCCAUGCAGGGAUGGGGCAUGCAUGAUGGGAAGGUUCCAUGCAAGGCCUUGAUUCCACCUCAGGCCAACAAGUUUUCAUUUCCUAACACUAAAGCAAUGUAUGAUCCACUGUUUAUCAAUGAGAAAAUAACAUGUGGUGACAGAUACAUACACACAUUUAAACGGUGCCUCUUGUGGCCACACACAGUUCUGUUCUCAUAAGGGACCUCAAUUUACUUAGGUGGAAAGAGAUAACCUAAUUUCAAAAAAAAAAAUCUGUAUUUCCAAAAGGAGUCUCACGGAGUUACUCAGGCUAGCCUUGAGCUCACUCCGUAGCCCAGGGAGUCCCAAACUUGUGAUCUUCCUGCCUCUGCCUUCUCCUGCAGCUGGGGUGACAGACUUGGACUGUGAGGCCUGGGUAAGCCCUCUGUAUCCAAAUCUAUUUCACCCAAGAUGAAUUCAGAAGGAAAACUAGCAUCAGAAACAGUGCUUUGAGCAUUGACAGGCUGCUUGAGCAAACACACUCCUAUUUGCAGGAAAUCCUGGCCUGGUUCAGCACUGCUGUGUGGAGGUCAAGUUUAUGUUCAUCCAAUUAACUGCCACUGACUCUGUCCGUACUUAAUCAUACCAUGGCCCGGCUGCUUCACAGCCGACUCACAGUUGCUCUACUGCCGUAAACUCUUCUAAUUGAGUAUUGCACACAGCUAAUUAAAUAUGAAAACAGGAUUGUGUGCAGUCAAGUUUCCAGCCUGCCUCAUAAACUUGCUGAUUCUAAUUUGUAUUUACCAGAGAAAUCCAGGCUUUCCUCGCCUACUAGUUAAUAGGUUGAUAGGGAAAGGGUCACAAACAAGGACAGUUGCUAUGUUCUGGGACAACACUGUUACCGGGUAAAGUCUAUGCCUUUUAAAAACUAGCCACUCUGCUGUAGAAAACACAACUUUAAUCUUAAUACAACAAGACAAAAGGCCAGGGCUUUUAAAGACCAUUUGGGGAAAUGCCUGGAAGGCUAGUGGGAACCUUCCACUACUUUGGAGGUUGUUUCUCUUUGCCCACCACACGCCCUCCUCAUGGCUUGACUGAGUGAAAUGACAAGUUGCAAGGGGAUCUGUUAUGAUAGUCCAGGCACUUCAACAAUGCAGGUGAAAGCAAUCUCAACACACAUGCUCUCUGUCUCUGUCUCUCUGUCUCUCUGUCUUUGUCUCUCUGUUUCUGUCUCUGUCUCUGUCUGUUUCUCUCUCUCUCUGUCUCUGUCUCUGUCUCUGUCUCUCUCUCUCUCUCUCUCUGGUAUGUAUGUGCAGAAGUGUCUGUGUGCAUGUAGGGGAGAGGUCAACCUCUAGCCUAAUUCCUUAACAGCCACCAACUUUGUUGUUUGACACAGGUUCAUGACUGGGAAGUCUCUAUCAGAAGUAUUUCCUUGUUGUCUCAUCACAAUCUCAAAGACUACUUAUCUGAGCUCGUGGGCUCUUCCUGGCUCUGCAUUCUCAGCCCUGUGAUUACAAGUGAGCACAAUUAAACCUGGCUUCCGUGAGUGUUGGGGAUCGAACUUGUGUCCUUGUGCUUGCACUGACUGUACUCACUUUAUCCCAGCUGAGUCUCUCUGUAAUGUUGGUCAUGUAUUCACAGACAUUGUUGAACAUGAUUUGUGUAAAGAAAGGCUCUGAGACCUGAGAAUUGUGGUGCAGAUGUGACACCCAACCCCACUUAUGAUUCCUCUGCAUGUCAAUUGCUUCAUCUUUGAUUGGGGAUAAUAAUAUCUCCUGUCUCCGAGCGGCUGUGUGGAUUCCAUGGGAAACCAGAUGACUGGCAUUUAGCGUAUUGCCAGUGCACACUAAGCACGCUGUAGGUAAUGCUGUAGAUGUUUGCAAGUGUGCUUUCUUUCUCAGUUUGAAAACUGGCACGCAGACUUUAGGUAAGUGAGCUAGUUACACUUUCUUGUUGGAAUCAGAAUUCCCUAUCAGAAUUAUUUCCCUGUUGACUCAUCGAAGUCUCAAAGACUACUAACAUUGCACAGACUUCCCAGGGGACUUUUGGAGACAUGCUACCUCUGAUCUUUUCUAUCCCCUUCUCUGACUCUCCACAGGAAGACCUGUGAAAGACCCAGCUGGCAUCCUGCCUGCCAUGGAGUCACAGACCUGCUCACAGAGUCACAGACCUUGCCAUGAGUAUUUUCCUUCCUUUUUUCCUUCCUUUCCACCCAUAACUUCGUACCCACUCUUAUCUGGCUUUCAGCCUCGGAGCUGAGAGGCUAGAACAUGAGAUUCUCUGUGCUAUCCGAUUUCCCCAAGUAGAAGAUUAUACCCUGACCACCUCCAGGUAUCUUUCUUUUGGACUUCUUUUGCUUUCCCUUGCAAAAGGGGGUUGAAGUUGCCUGAUAGGCUGAUCUUUGCAGUUGCUAACUGAAACUUCCCAUUUCCAGAAUGCAGGGAUUCGAUGUUGAGGCCCCCACUCAAAUACUGCAGGUAUAAAAGCCCAAGAAUCUGUAGCCCUCAACUGCUCUGACAAGCCCCAGGGUAGGAAGAGGCUUGCCUUGUCUCCUCAGAAGUAUUUAAGAAUCCCCCGGGGUCUCACAUCCUUGCUGUGAUACCGUUUAACAAGCAGGCAAGUUGGGGAGUUGUUGCUGUUGUUGUUCUAAUGUGAUUAAAGCUACAAUAAGGUGUGUGUGUGUGUGUGUGUGACAAGAGGCAAAGCCAUUGUUCCGCACCAUUACGCUCACAGCAGCACCCCAAAGAAAUUACAGGCAGCUUGCCCAUGGCCCUAAUGAAGAGCAUCCCUUUGAAUUAUCUCUGGAUGAGGAAAGGAUCAAGCCAGAGCCUUAGAAUAUUUGAUCCUCUUUGUGCGGCGGUUAUGAAGGCUUACUGAAGCCAGACGCACCGGACUUUCUGGAAGUGUAAUUUAUGGAAACCUUAAUUUCUCUGUUCUAAUAAGGUUUUGCAUAAUAAGGGUGAGGACACAAUUACUAAUUCCUGCAAGUGUUUUGUGAAUUCCUCUGUGCUACGGUUCAGGCGCCCAAAGAAUAGGCAGAAGGACAGGACGGAUUUUACUUAGUUAGCUCGAGGGUAGGUUGGUCUGAGAAGUAGUUUGGGCCCCCUGAAAAUAAAUCUGCAUGGCUCCCUAAACUGCUGACAGCAUGUAUUUCAGACGGAAGUCAUUUAUCAGCAACUCACCGAACGAUACUGCAGACAGAAAUAGCCCCACAAAAUUUUACCUAGUAAAAACCAAACGGAAUCUAGACUCCUUCUUUUAGGACUGCACUCUGGGCUGAAGAGCAUAAAUAAUAAGGUUGAAUAAAAAAUAAGUUGGCACAGAUUUGUUGUAGAUAUCAUAAAGUUGAACUUGGGAAGGUGUUCACUAGUUUCAAUGUAUACGAAAUUCACCUGAAUGGAAGCUACACGAUAGGUUUGGUGCUGAUGAUAAAAACCAAAACCAAACCAAAAAAAAAAAAACCCAAACCAAACCAAACCAGGCACAGAGUUUUGAAAACUACCAUUGAACGUAUUCCCUUUGUGGUAGCCCAGCCUAACAUAGCACACGGCUUAGCCAAUGGGGUUUGGUGCUCAGCUCAACUCACUUCUAAGUGUUUGGCUUGAAAAGAGAGCCCCCAGAUCGUCAGGUAAACUGAGGCCUCGAACCCACCAUGUGGUCAUGAGGGAUGGGGGCCAGAUCAUCAGUGGUGGCAGUACUGUUGCUCAAGUCCUCCCAUAUAUCCCCAGACUGCUGGGGACAAGUCUGCCCCACUAAGUCCAUAGAGUUGGAAGCCAAGGAUAUUUCUAAGACUUAAGAAGCUUGUUUGCAGGACAGAAGCAGGUGGGACAGUUCAAGAAAAAAAACUUAGGAUGUUUACGCUGACCCUUUAUAUGCCUUACUGCAGAGAGCUGACAGACAUACAGACAGACACACACACCUCUUAUUCACCCAGCAUCCUUAGAUUUUGCUCACCAGGCACAUUCAGCUGUCUUCCUGUGUCUUGCUAGGGACACCCGCCCUCUAGUGGCUGACGAGAAAAUGACACACAACUAACCAAAUUCUUUUUAAAGUCAAGCCUUUUUUUUUUUUUAAAUUAAUUAGCCAUUUGUAAUGAACCAAGAAGCACAUACCCACUUUGUUUUUUUGCUUGCCUUCAUGUUAUUCUACUAUAAUGAUUUUAAAAACUUACCGGACUGUUACUUUCUGUUCACAGAAAUUAUCUCUUAAAGGAGCCAAACUGAUUCAAGAGGAAAAUCCUUAAUUGCUGAGCUAGGUUAGCAAGAACCAAGUCAAACCACCUUGUUCAAGGGGCUUGAAGACUUAAAAGAAAAUGUUCAGCAUGGAUGUAAAGUAAGCUAUCUGGGCUAUAUUGAACAUAUCCCCUGACAAGUCAACUGAAAUUUCAUGUUGUGACGUAGCAGCCGUGACAGAUCACCUGCUGAGGGUGACAGUCUGUGAGACCAAAAUCACUUGCUUCAGAAGUUGCUAACAUUUGCACAGAGAGACGUAUGCAAGUGGUGGCAAGUGUGAGGUAUAAAUGUGAGCCACAUGUCCCAGUACAAGACGCUGCUGAAAGGAGGACUCAGCAGAGGACUUUGCUCCCCUGUAAGCAGUUCCUUAAAACUGUUUUAAACAGACACAAAAACUGCAAACAUCCAUCAUCCUCCCCACCCCCUUCCCCAACUUGUUCAAAGGAUGCCUGCCUGACCACUCUCUGACCCUGUCGGCUGGCCACUGUGUAGAGUCUUUAGUUGUCAUGGAGCUUUGUGACACGGUUACUUCAAACACAUCGCAAGACCAUCAACAGCUAUUUAGACUCUCAAAAGCAAGCACCCGGAAAGCUGCUAGGAAGCACAUUUCUUAAGAGAGUUCACAGAACAUCUCCGGAGAAGUCGGCAAGGCAGGCUUAGACAGAACACAAGCACACCCAGAAAUUCCCGAUUCCUGCCCCGGGAGGGAUGCCGCCAGCACGGGAGACCCAUGAGGACAAUGAAUUCUGACUAACUUGCUAUGGCCUCCCUUGGGGUGAGCCAGCCUUGUUUAUUACAGGAAAUGGAUUGGAUUUCACAGACUAGUAAGACACUAUCAUUUGGAUACCAUGGAGUGGUACACCCAAGGAGGAACACGCUGGAGAUGAGGGAGUAGCUACGAGCACACUGUCUCAUAAGCGUCAUACAAGGCUUCAGUUGUUAGUACCUUUCUUGUAAGACCAAACGAAACAACUCCAAAGGCAUACUCAACCUAAGGGCAUUCCAUUUUACUUGGAUCCAAAUUUUAAGCAACCCUGGCUUGAUCUCCAAGCAAUACUCAUCCACCACUGAGUAGAUAUGGACGAGUAACUGUAUUUUAUGAGCUAUUCACAAGGGAAGGGCUCUCACCAAGCUUUCAAAUGGAAUUCUUUAACUGGCCACAGCUCUGUUGUUUUAAAGUCAUCUGCAGUUGUCCUUAGCUUGUUCUUCUGCAUAAUUGAUUAGACAGCUGUCAAAUAUGUGUGUCCCCCUAUCUCGUAACUGACAUUCAUACGGGGAUAGAUGAGAGAGGAAAUGGGCUGUGAACAAAUGGACACUGGGCCAUUGAAGAGAUGGAAGAAAAAGAGGCUGAGGCUGAGAGGCAACAGUAGGGAGAAGCAAGAUCUCUCUUCACCAGCAGGUGGGCUCACCAGUGAACCCACACCCACAGAAAUGGACUUACAGCACAGAAUGGCUUGCUCUACACCAUGACUGCUGUGGUCUUUUUUUUUUUUUUUAAUCUGAGCCAUAUAGAUUGCGCCCAACUUUAAAGAUAGAUGUAUGUCACUGACAUAUGAUUAUAUACAACCCCAAAGAUUUUACCACGCCAAGUGUAUUGACACUUUAAUGUAAAACAUAGCUUGAAAGCCUCUCUUAGAUUUCCCUGAAGAGAAUGCCUCAUCCCUGUAAGUGGGGCCAAAUAGUGCGGUUCCUAGGAUUCCCUAUGCAGAUGACUGAUCUCCAUGUAAAGCCGCGCAGCAUCGCGUCUAAGCUAACAUGCUCAUUCUGUUUGAUCUCCGUCCAUUUCCUGCAUUGUACUAAGGGCCUCUUAUCCCUGUCCAACAUCAACAGGUCAUUCAGAGAGGGGUCAGUGUCAGCCAAUAUAAAUAACCAUUAUAAAACCUCUAGCAUGCUUUAAAUCAACAAGCAAAGUGGCCUAUGCUGUUUAAAGUAUAAAUUCCAAAUAUUUUCAUGGCAGAGGGUAGAGGAGGUCUACAAAAAGCACAGUUGAAAAAAAAAGAGAAUCAGAGUUAAAUGAUCCAGUCAUGGUGAGCCACUCCAGCACAUGGUUCCCUAUUUUAAAACCAGCUUGCAAACAAAUGUCCACAGAGCCCUUCCUUCCCCUCUUGGAGAAGACAGACAGCUUGGGUUGGAAGACCACAGGCGCCCGUGUUUCACAAGAGUUUCACACACAUGGCUGACAUUACCACCAUGUUUAUAAACCCAGGGAGGCUCAACCAAAACUAUAACAGCUAGAGAACUGGAAGAGACUCAGAGUAUGAGGAGGAGGUGACAGAUCUCCCUCCUGCUUCUUUUUUUCCCUCCCAAAGCCUGUGUGUAGAAGGAGACACUGUAACUCCCACUAAGCAUCUCCAGAGAAUGGUUCUUGGGAGGAAAUCAUAGGAAGGGGGUUGAUGGGAACAGGCUAGGACUUACUGAUAUCUGUCUUGGGAAGAAUACAUGAAGCCCAUCUGGGAGUUCAGAUCUCCCUCCUUUUUUCCUGUCUUACAUCUGUUGUUCCUGAACUCAGUCUGCAUGAUCUGAGAGCACAAUGAGCCAGGUAGACCAGUUCCUACACAUGCUAAAGGGGGCACAACCAUGCAGAACAUGCUUAAUAGUGACUAUAACCCUCCCUGGUGGAGCACUAUCUAUAUCAUUGUGGAAACAGUUGGCUGGGUGUGGCAGUUCACAUCUUUAAUCCCAGCACGUGGGAGGCAGAGGCAGGUGGAUUUCUAUGAGUCUGAGGCCAGCCUGGUCUGCACGGCAAACUCCAGGACAGCCAGGGCUAUCCAGUACAAACCUGUCUAAAAGGAAAUUUAAAAAAAGGGGGGGGGAUAGAAGAAAAGAGACUCUAGAACAAGUUUGGAAAGCAAGGCACUAUUUCACAGAUAACUAAAUAUGAUUGCUUUAAUAACCAUAAGCAGAUGAGUCCAUAAUACCCAGGUUCUGUCUAGCCCGAGGCCUGGGCUGUUUUAAAGCCAAGGUUAGCUAUGAAUGUAACCCCAGGCAAAAUUGCAAAGACACUUAAAACUCUGUGUGUGUGUGUGUGUGUGUGUGUGUGUGUGUGUGUGUGUGUGUGUGUGUGUGAACUGUUUUGUAAUUUAAUUGCACAGUUCUCAAGCAUGAACUUUAUAGCGGAAAACUUCAUGUUGCAAUGUCAAAGUGUUAGACAAGUUUGAAGGAGGUGUUUACAAAUUCCAUCACUGCAUAUUGGCCUACUGGCUGAGUUUAAGCCUCCUUAGAUACCUUUAUCUGUUUCCAUUUUGGUAGGGAAAUGUGUCUUGAUUUUCUAUCCCUUUCCGUGGCUGCUUUCUCCUGGAACCACAGCCAGUUCUAUGCCUCCUCCCUGGAGUUAUCUGCUCAGAGAAUGCACAAGUACUUUCUGGUAAACUGAAUGUUUAUCUUUGGGAGCCUUCUCCCAGCUUGCAAGGUAAGUUUAGUGUUUAUUGUUAGGGAAAGAGCUGCUUUUCUGUGGCAACUUUCCCAUUAUGGUGAUCUGUGCUGAUUUUCUUUAAGAUCCAUCCCCCAAGUUAUUUCCCUUAUGCCUUACGGUGACUUCGCAGGGCAAGACCCCUCGGGUCCACGCUAUUAUUCCCAAGUGUAGACAGAAAGGUGAGGGAAUGACUCACAAUGACUUAGAGCUAGAACCAGAAGUAACUUCAACAAAUCCAGCAGUAGAUCUGGGACCCUUUAAUGCUUACAAAAGAGGCUGGCCUUUAAGAAAUGACCACUCCGUGAUGCCCAUGCUUGGGGAGCUAUACAUCAGAUUCAGGAAGUCAAGGGACUCACCGUACUUGCUACCUACAGUAAUCUAUUUUUGUCUAUUAAAACUCUCCAGAUUCAGGUAUAAUAAUUUCUGUUUUUUUUCAUUUAUAUAACAUAUAUUUUGCUUUAACUAUGACACCCACUCCCAAUGUUCUGCCAAGGUAGAAGAUUUGACAGUUUGACCAUGAUAACCUACCUUUCUCUAGCAUCAAGCAAAUAAAAUGUAAAACAAACAGUGGCUUUUCUUUGUUCUGUUUCUCUUUUGUUUGGACUCCCACAAUCCAGGAGGGAUGUGAACUCACUGUGUAGCUGAGGCCAGUCUGUAACUCUUGAUUCUCCUGCCUCCAUCUCCAAAUGUUAGUGUGUGCUGCUACAGCCCUGUUAAGAUUUUUUUUGAACUAGGCAAACUGUACUUUUUUUUUUCAGUAGGCCAAUUGUCCUCAUCUGACUCCCUGCUAAUUUUCCUGAUGAUAUUUGACCAGAACAGGCUGAUUUAGAUAAUUCCAUGUCCAUGGACAAAAAAAUAAUUGAUGACAUCAGCAUAGUUAUGGGAAUUAGACUUAUUAGUUAAUUACAAAGCCAGUAGAGGGAGCACAAACCCUGCAUAAAUAAUAUGCAUUUCUAAGUGGCUUACAGAACAUGCAUGCACACAUGCGUGUUCUGUUGCUUCAUGGUGCUACACUCCCACGUGUGUUUGUUCACGGUGCUCCCCUCUCCCCUGGUGCAGUUGUUCCUGUCGAAGGGUGAGACUUACAGAGUUGGCAAACACUUUCUUAUUCAUCCCACAUCAGGAUGGUUUUCAGUGUGCUUGUUCCAAACAGAAACUUAACGGAGCCAGUUUUCUUUUAAGAGACAAUAAAAGUUUAUGUUUGUGGGUGACUAAGAUUGGACAAAAGUAAAGUAGACUAAUGGCUAUCGGGACAAAGAAAGAAAAAUAAAUUCAUCCUUUAAAAAACAGGAACCUGUCUAGUACUGGGUGGGAGGACGACAAGGAAGCCUACAUGAAUGUAGAUGGUUGAAACAUAUCAUGUGCAUGCACGAGGAUGUCAGAAUGAAACUCACUAUUGUGUGUAAUUAAGGAAAACUAGUCUGCCCUAAGUACUGCUCAUGUUUGAAAUAAAUGGUCACGGCUUUCUCAUUUAAACCACAGGCUAUUCACAAGUUUUGUGAUUGACAUGGCGCAUGUCUCCCACCAAAAUAAUGCCCGUGUAAACAGAAAGAUGAAAGGCAUUUGUUCAUGGGUUGGGUAGAGAAGUUAGGGCCCAAACACUCACAAGUAGUCCAACUCUUUAAAAUACAGUUGUAGUCAGGUUAAAUACAGUACCACCUGAUACGACUUAACAUUUAACCAAAAAAUAAAUAUUGUAAAUAACUUGAUUUUUUUGUAUUACAUGUUUGUUUUCUUGUUUCCCUAUGUCAGGAAUGUAAAGCAGAAUGUAAAUAAAAUCACAUAAUGCGAGCUUUUAUUUAAACUAUAUGUAUUCUGACACUAUUUUUCUAUUAAGGAUGAACGGUGGCUGGAAAGAUAGCUUAGUUGGGUAAGUUCUUGCCUUGUAAGCACAAGGACCUGAGUUCAAUGCCCACAUAACAAAAGUCAGGUGUCGUGUUGUCUGCUUAUCAUCCCAGUGUUGGGCAGAUGGACACAAGAGGAUCCUUGGUUCUUACUGGCCAUCCAGCCCAGUCUACCUAAUGCAUUUUAGGCUACUGAGAAACUGUUUCAAAAUGAAAAUACAAACAUAGCCAGAGAAAUAUAUUGGAGAUUUUUCUCUGGCUUUCACGUGCAUAUAUACCAGAGUGUACACACACACACACACACACACACACACACACACACACACACACACUAAUAGGGAAGGUUCUCCACUUUGGCUCAUAUUGAAGGGAUUUAUCAAGGACUUGGAACAGAGAAAUGGCAGUAAUGAAUGAAUCUUUGGGAAGAAUGGCCUCACCAGACAUCUGUCUGGUUUUAGAGCCAACUAGUUUAGAAGCACAAAGAAUGUUGGAGUCAGUCACACUGUUAUAGAGCCUAUACCUGUGCAUUCCUUCUAACCAUUGUCUGCACUGAGUCCCUGGCCCACGGACAACCUGCUAAUCCACUGUCUGUCACUUUAGGGACAUCACUAUGGUCUGAAUAUUUGUGUUCCCAUGAACAAGCAUGGUUAAAUCUACUGUGAUGGAGUUAGCAGGGAGUGCAUUUAGGAUGGGGUCAAUAUUGUCACAGAAGAGGACUAGAGAGGACUCUCUUAUCCCUUCCUCCAGAGUAGGAGACAUCGAGAAGGUAUAAGCUAAGAACCAAGAGACAGGCCCACAUUAGACCCCUUAUCCGCCUUCACCUCUAUUCUGGGAAUAGCGUUCUAUUCCCAUCUUUUACAAGCUAGCAGGCUGUUCUACAAGUGAAUGCUUAUUCUACAAGUGAAUGUGGAGGAUAGUGGAAGUAGGAUCAUCCAGGAAACAGAGGGGUGUACUGGGUUCAGUACCUAGGACUUGGUUAUCGGUGGGAGACCGUAGCCUGCUCCUAAUUUUUACCCUUUAUUCCCUUUGAAAAGCUCUGAAUGUGACGGGCUCUGUAAAUGAGGCCCUUAUCAGUAAUCUUCAGCUCAGAUUGGCUGUGCUUUCUGCCUCAAUGUCCUCAAGUACCGCAGGCAUCCUCUUGCCUGAAAUCUCGGAUACCCAGCAGGAGGCUGUAAUUGCAAGCAACUAACCAUGCCCACAGCCAGAGCCAGUAGCUCCCCUCAGAAAGGUUCCUUCUGCUUUACAAACAAAACAGAUCCCAGAGUUCAUCAGCUUCCUGGAAACGGGUGCUAGUAUACCUAAGAUGCUUUUAAGUCAUUUUUAUCAAUACUUGAAGAAAAAUGUCCCCAAACUUUUAAGGUAAAUUAAGGUUUCUUGGAUACCUGGUAUGCACAAGGGAUGACCACAGAAACAACCGAAAGAUUUCAUGGAUCCCAAACCGCGUUAUGAGUUUAGCAUUCUUUAAAAUUCUUAUUUGACAGAACGCAAAUCUGGGACUCAGAGCAGUUAGGUAACUUGCCAAGGUUAUUCAGCUGUCACAUGUCUGUCCACGGAAGCCCACACAUGCCUUUUUUUUGUUAGAGCUCAUUACAGAUCCGUUUUCAAAUGACAAAACAUGACAAAUUUCGUGGAAGACAGUAGAAUCUAUUAUUGUUAGAGUUCUCUCUCUCUCUCUCUCUCUCUCUCUCACACACACACACACACACACACACACACACACACGCACACACACACACACACACACACACACACACAAAGAAUAAGCUUGCCGGUGCUGAGAAUUAACACAAGAAAGAAAGUAUUAGCAGAUGAGUCCCACCUUUAUAAAGAUUGUCAGUAGGGGCAAGAGAAUGACAGAUGGCCAAAUGAUUCUGAGUGCCUGCAUCUUGAGUCCUCACAGGUCACUGCCAGGCUGCUCUGGGAGCCAACUCACCCGUCAUCCAUCAGGGUUCAAGACCAGGAUCAACAGAACUGGUGUUCUGCAGCUCUGCAUCCUGAUUGAUCCUGACCAUUGCUUGGAAACUACGGGCAUGUCAGGAUUUGGGAAAAAUUAAAAUUCUUCCCAGGAGGCACAGUAGAUUUCUGGCCAGUGUGGCCCACUCAUUUUAUUUAAUAAGAAAUUGAUCAGCAAACAAAUGGUGCCUGUUUCCAUCUGGUGAAGAACUUAACGGAGGCUCUUUGUGGAUUAGGUAGGAGUACAAGCGUUCAUUUCCCUUUGACUAUCAUUCAUUCUAACGAGUGACAGGUUGGUUUCAGGAUCAACAGACCAGUUAGUGGGUCUCAUCUAACUGUGUCAGAAAAUGGCUGAAAAUCUAAAUCCUGUCAUUUACUUCGGUGAGAACAGCCAGGCUUGAAAGAGCUAACCAUUAGUCAGGCCUAUGUUCCAGAUACAUGUUUUUAUUUUUAGCAUAUCACAGCCAUGCACUGUCAAUUUUGCAGAUAAUUCAGGAAGCUAUUUAAACCUAGGAUAGGUAACUCCAGCUUAGAAACCGCAGAAAUCCUACAAGGAAUCAUUUGGACACUUCUCCCAUUGAAUUAAAUAGACACCAGGGAGACCUGUGCCAUCUCAUGAAUAUAUUAGGUGCUGAUCAGCACAAAUGUGUUUAUAUUAAAAAUGGCUCUUUGGCUUCAAUUGUCUGUUUAAGAGAUACCAGCUCCCUGUUGGGACCCGCUGAUCGAAAAGUCCUCAUGAUAAUUUGAACAUAAACACACAUAACUUUUCAAGUAUUCUCUCUUUUAAAGCAAGGCCUAGAGAGAUUAUUAAAGCAUUUGGGUGGUUCUAGGGAUGGCAGAUGUAUCUUAUCACAGAUGUGUCACACACACAAAGGGGGACGCACAUGUCACUGCCACUGCCACGCCAUCCGCAGCUUGAAGACUCCAAAGGACAGGGGUUCAGCUAUGGGGCAGCCAGAGAAAGGGUCAUGAUUCACCAUGGCGGGGCCAGCAUUCGGACACAUAGUCUUUAAUUGCCUAGUUGUCAUCUCCCAUAUACUCUGGGGUGACAUUGGGCCUAGAGUGAUGAAGAAAAUAAAAUAAAUGCACAGGGUCUCAUGUGUUCUGCCAUCUUGAAAUGCCCUAUUUGCUCAAUAUUCAUAAAGGAGAGGAAAAAAAUUAGAGUUCAUCUUUUUUUUUUUUUUUUGGCCAUACAUUGUUUUGCCUGAGCAUAAAUUGGCAUAUUAUGCUCCCUCAAUUAUACAGACAGCAAGAUGUUAUAUGAUUUAGGUUGCAAUGACACUGUUCUUUAUGCUAACGUUUCCGAUUAUGAAGGCUUGCAGUUGGAAUGGCCCACCAGGGGUAUAGAAUUGUAUUGUGACUAAAGCAUUAUGGGGUUUGUGAGCUGUAAAUGAGCUCUUGGUGUUGUCUAAGGUCAAGAUGUUUCCUUCCUCCAUUUCUGUGCGACGUCACGAGAAGUUAAGUCUGCAACUCUUCCAUUUGGGUACAAUGGUAUGCCAGGAAAGCAGCAAAGCCUUUAGCUGGGUUCUUCCUUCCUCUCUGUGUGCUGCAUGGGGGCUGUCCCCUAGCAGUUCCUACCAGUCAGGGCUGCAGUCACAGCUUAAGUGGUCACCAGAAAGUGUCAGGUAUGCAUGAUGUUGAGCCCCCUGCGGGUGGUGUCUUAUCUGCUGUUUCCAGCAACCUCCAGCUAGAGUGGUACCAGAUAGACUUUGCAAAUGAUGAAAGGGGGCUCAGUGGGCCCACUCACCUCAGGCUUCAUUCACUGAGGAUCAGCUUUGGUUUGAAGCUCAUGCUCUGGAC
This is a non-coding RNA of Rattus norvegicus (Norway rat), 25071 nucleotides long. NCBI's taxonomy places the organism in Eukaryota, Metazoa, Chordata, Mammalia, Rodentia, Muridae. The record is from RefSeq and is a predicted model, not a curated record.